UUAAGUAACGAUAGCCUAGGAGAUACACCUGUACCACUGCCGAACACAGCAGUUAAGCCCUAGUACGCCUGAAGUAGUUGGGGGGUUGCCCCCUGUUAGAUACGGGGAGUUGCUUAGC
Molecule: ribosomal RNA, 118 nt
Filed under: Streptococcus urinalis 2285-97
Lineage: Bacteria; Bacillati; Bacillota; Bacilli; Lactobacillales; Streptococcaceae
Source: RNAcentral